UACAGAGGUCCCGAGCGUUGUUCGGAUUUACUGGGCGUAAAGCGCGUGUAGGCGGCAAUGCAAGUCGGGCGUGAAAUCCCACGGCUCAACCGUGGAAGUGCACUCGAAACUGCAUAGCUAGAGUCCUGGAGAGGAAGGUGGAAUGCUUGGUGUAGAGGUGAAAUUCGUAGAUAUCAAGCGGAACACCGGUGGCGAAGGCGGCCUUCUGGACAGUGACUGACGCUGAGACGCGAAAGCGUGGGGAGCAAACAGG
Molecule: ribosomal RNA, 253 nt
Filed under: uncultured bacterium
Lineage: Bacteria
Description: partial 16S ribosomal RNA
Rfam family: Bacterial small subunit ribosomal RNA
Source: RNAcentral